GGAAGGAUCAUUAACACUAAUCCACAUACCUUAACCAAGCCUUCAGUGCUGCAAGAGCGCACGCUCGCGUGCUUCUGUUGCGGCAUCAUAAAUCUAAUCAAACAAAGGAGUUUAACUAAGCUCAAAUACCAAAACCAAAUUCUCAACGAUGGAUAUCUUGGUUCCCAUAACGAUGAAGAACGCAGCGAAGUGCGAUAAGCAAUGCGAAUUGCAGAACCGUGAGUCAUCAGAUUUUUGAACGCAACUGGCGCCGAUUGGCUAUCCAGUCGGCAUGCUUGUUUCAGUGUCUUAUUAUCUCCUCACCCAAAUCUUAAUGCGAGAGAUACCCUUCUCUUGUCAAAUAAGAAAGCGCUCUGAGCUCUGCAAGCGAUCUCGCUUCGGCGUUGGUCGCACUCAAUGCAGCAGUCACAUUCUCCAAUGUGAACUCAUUGAGAGUUGAGUCAGCGCAGUUAUACUGCAAGCGCUUAGACCUUCAAACUCUUCUUGCAUCUGAAAUCAAGCAGGAUCACCCGCUGAACUUAAGCAUAUCACUAAGCGGAGGAAAAGAAAUUAACUAAGAUUGCCUCAGUAACGGCGAGUGAAGCGGCAAAAGCCCAAACUGGAAAUCUUCGUGCUUCGCACGACGAAUUGUAAUCUGAGGAGCGAAUCUCACCUGGCUGAGGCGCAGAAGUGCCUUAGAACGGGCCGCCAAAGAGGGUGACAGCCCCGUAUGUGGUGCCUCGGCCUAACGAGAUCGUUUCUACGAGUCGGGUUGUUUUGAAUUGCAGCCCUAAGCGGGGGAUAGACUUCCUCUAAGGCUAAAUAUCUAUGGGAAACCGAUAGCGAACAAGUACUGUGAAGGAAAGAUGAAAAGAACUUUGAAAAGAGAGUCAAAAGACUUGAAAUCGUUGAGAAGGAAGCGGUAGAAAUUUAUUCUUCUGGGUAGAAUUAAGUGUUGGACUGGCGUAUCGGCGCGGCUCAGUACGUCAAAGGCUGAUCGUGUCGCGUGCGUCUUCCAUUGCGGAGUUCUAUUUAGUGAGGCAAGAUGGGGUGUCGUUCCCACAAAAGCUGCGCAAACCUGGCUUCACGGCAGUUUGUAUGUGCUAGUGGGGAUGGCGCCUGAGGAUGCCUUGUGCGAUCUUGCCAAAAUGGUUUUUACCGACCCGUCUUGAAACACGGACCAAGGAGUCUAACAUAUAUGCGAGUGUGCUGGCGGAAAAACCAACACGCGUAAUGAAAGUAAUUGAUGCCAAGGCAACAGCAGCAUCAACCGACCAUGAUCCUCUGGUGAAAGGUUUGAGUAUGAGCAUAUCUGUUAGGACCCGAAAGAUGGUGAACUAUGCCUGGGUAGGGUGAAGCCAGGGGAAACUCUGGUGGAGGCUCGUAGCGGUUCUGACGUGCAAAUCGAUCGUCAAACUUGGGUAUAGGGGCGAAAGACUAAUCGAACCAUCUAGUAGCUGGUUCCCUC
This 1447-nucleotide unclassified non-coding RNA is filed under the name uncultured Sporadotrichida. RNAcentral's name for it is "sequence contains 18S rRNA gene, ITS1, 5.8S rRNA gene, ITS2, 28S rRNA gene". The stretch from base 486 to 1447 matches the Rfam family "Eukaryotic large subunit ribosomal RNA", at positions 1 to 961 of the family's 3401-position model. The record is from RNAcentral. Lineage: Eukaryota; Ciliophora; Spirotrichea; Sporadotrichida.